Molecule: ribosomal RNA, 138 nt
Filed under: Melanoleuca aff. cinereifolia voucher JS89 (IBUG)
Lineage: Eukaryota; Fungi; Basidiomycota; Agaricomycetes; Agaricales; Pluteaceae
Description: partial 25S ribosomal RNA
Rfam family: Eukaryotic large subunit ribosomal RNA
Source: RNAcentral
UUGACCUCAAAUCAGGUAGGACUACCCGCUGAACUUAAGCAUAUCAAUAAGCGGAGGAAAAGAAACUAACAAGGAUUCCCCUAGUAACUGCGAGUGAAGCGGGAAAAGCUCAAAUUUAAAAUCUGGCAGUCUCUGGCU